This 454-nucleotide long non-coding RNA is filed under the name Phaseolus vulgaris (common bean). RNAcentral's name for it is "long non-coding RNA (PVUL_LNC002960)". The record is from RNAcentral. Lineage: Eukaryota; Viridiplantae; Streptophyta; Magnoliopsida; Fabales; Fabaceae.
GCUCAGCACAAACACCACUAAGAAUGCUGAUCUUGACAACAUCAAGAACACACAACACUUCUCAGCUUCACACACAGAGUUUCUUCAAAGUACAAAGGAUUACACUUGUUACAAAAAGAUAUGAAAUCAAUACAAGAUGAAAAUUCUAUUUCACACUCUCUUGAUCGAAGCAAACUCAAAGCAAACUUCAACUCUUCAAAAGCAAAAUCAGUGAAAAACUCAAAUAUGUUUUUCUUUGAUUAAAUCUUAGUUCUUGCUUGUUACAUAAACUGAACAAACUAUUUAUUGCUUUCAAAGACUGGUCAAAACAUUUAAAACUAGAGCGUAAUCAAUUAUAAAAUCAUUUAAUGCUCAGUCAAAGCAAAAAACAGUUUUCUGUUAUGGUCCCAAAACAAACAAUCGGUUGAAUACUCGAAUCAAUCGGUUGUUUUGGUUUGACAACAAGUCAACCAUC